CAUGGCUCAGGAUGAACGCUAGCGACAGGCCUAACACAUGCAAGUCAGGGGCAUCGGGGUUGAAGCUUGCUUUAACUGCCGGCGACCGGCGCACGGGUGAGUAACACGUAUGCAACCUGCCCGUCACAGGGGUAUAAUCGAUGGAAACGUCGUCUAAUCCCCCAUAUAAUCAUUUUGCUGCGUGGUGAGAUGAUGAAAGCUGAUUGUGGUGACGGAUGGGCCUGCGGUGCAUUAGCUAGUUGGUGGGGUAAUGGCCUACCAAGGCGACGAUGCAUAGCCGAACUGAGAGGUUAAUCGGCCACACUGGGACUGAGACACGGCCCAGACUCCUACGGGAGGCAGCAGUAGGGAAUAUUGCACAAUGGAGGAAACUCUGAUGCAGCCAUGCCGCGUGUGUGAAGAAGGCCUUCGGGUUGUAAAGCACUUUCGGAGGGGAGGAAAAGAUGACGUUACCCUCAGAAGAAGCACCGGCUAACUCCGUG
This 482-nucleotide ribosomal RNA is filed under the name uncultured bacterium. RNAcentral describes it as "bacterial SSU rRNA". It matches the Rfam family "Bacterial small subunit ribosomal RNA", at positions 18 to 507 of the family's 1533-position model. The record is from RNAcentral.